This 503-nucleotide ribosomal RNA is filed under the name uncultured bacterium. RNAcentral's name for it is "partial 16S ribosomal RNA". It matches the Rfam family "Bacterial small subunit ribosomal RNA", at positions 30 to 523 of the family's 1533-position model. The record is from RNAcentral.
AUUGAACGCUGGCGGCAGGCUUAACACAUGCAAGUCGAGCGGGGUGAUGGUGCUUGCACUAUCACUUAGCGGCGGACGGGUGAGUAAUGCUUAGGAAUCUGCCUAUUAGUGGGGGACAACAUCUCGAAAGGGAUGCUAAUACCGCAUACGUCCUACGGGAGAAAGCAGGGGAUCACUUGUGACCUUGCGCUAAUAGAUGAGCCUAAGUCGGAUUAGCUAGUUGGUGGGGUAAAGGCCUACCAAGGCGACGAUCUGUAGCGGGUGUGAGAGGAGAAUCCGCCACACGGGGACUGAGACACGGCCCAGACUCCUACGGGAGGCAGCAGUGGGGAAUAUUGGACAAUGGGGGGAACCCUGAUCCAGCCAUGCCGCGUGUGUGAAGAAGGCCUUAUGGUUGUAAAGCACUUUAAGCGAGGAGGAGGCUCUUUUGGUUAAUACCCAAGAUGAGUGGACGUUACUCGCAGAAUAAGCACCGGCUAACUCUGUGCCAGCCGCCGCAGUAA